AACGAACGCUGGCGGCAGGCUUAACACAUGCAAGUCGAACGCACCUUCCGGGGUGAGUGGCAGACGGGUGAGUAACGCGUGGGAAUCUACCCUUCUCUACGGGAUAGCUCCGGGAAACUGGAAUUAAUACCGUAUACGUUCUGAGGGAGAAAGAUUUAUGGGGGAAGGAUGAGCCCUCGUUGGAUUAGCUGGUUGGUGGGGUAAAGGCCUACCAAGGCGACGAUCCAUAGCUGGUAAAAGAGGAUGCUCAGCGACUUUGGGAUUGGGACACGGCCGAGAAUCCUACGGGAGGGGGCAGUGGGGGAUAUAGGAAAAGGGGGGCAGGGCUGAUGCAGCCAUGGCGGGUAAGUGAUGAAGGCCGUAGGGUAGUAAAGCUCUUUCAGAGGGGACGAUAAUGACGGUACCCACAGAAGAAGCCCCGGCUAACUACGUG
RNAcentral lists this ribosomal RNA (433 nucleotides) under uncultured bacterium. RNAcentral's name for it is "partial 16S ribosomal RNA". It matches the Rfam family "Bacterial small subunit ribosomal RNA", at positions 29 to 507 of the family's 1533-position model. The record is from RNAcentral.